Methanohalophilus mahii DSM 5219 is the source of this 100-nucleotide regulatory RNA element. It matches the Rfam family "Pyrrolysine insertion sequence mttB". The record is from Rfam. NCBI's taxonomy places the organism in Archaea, Methanobacteriati, Methanobacteriota, Methanomicrobia, Methanosarcinales, Methanosarcinaceae.
UAGGCUGAUGCCAAGGUCCCAGAUGGCCAGGCAGGUCAUGAAAAGACCAUGACAACCCUGCUUCCAGCGCUUUCAGGAUGUAACACCCUUUAUGGUGCGG